GCCGGCGUGGCGGAACAGGCAGACGCAAGGGACUUAAAAUCCCUCGACGGAAACGUCAUGCGGGUUCGAUCCCCGCCGCCGGCACCA
Molecule: transfer RNA, 87 nt
Filed under: Eubacteriales bacterium
Lineage: Bacteria; Bacillati; Bacillota; Clostridia; Eubacteriales
Description: tRNA-Leu
Rfam family: tRNA
About the family: Transfer RNA (tRNA) molecules are approximately 80 nucleotides in length.
Source: RNAcentral